This is a long non-coding RNA of Branchiostoma floridae (Florida lancelet), 586 nucleotides long. RefSeq lists it as uncharacterized. The transcript is spliced from 3 exons. NCBI's taxonomy places the organism in Eukaryota, Metazoa, Chordata, Leptocardii, Amphioxiformes, Branchiostomatidae. The record is from RefSeq and is a predicted model, not a curated record.
GUGAGUUUUGCAGUGGAUCGGAGGCUCAAAAAUGAGAUAGCCCGAACAUUGACCAGAACAGAGCUUUGAAUGUUUCCUCCAACCUGCGAAAGAGACAAAGGAGGAACCGCAUUACGGCGAUAAUGAUCAGAUCGUACUUCUAGAUACUGAAGAGAGUUGCACCCAAAGGUAUCACAGUAAGCGAAUCUCCUUUGCUUUAUAUUGCAAUAUAAGCCUGCGUUUAUCUAUUGGUAUACCCUCCAGCAGUUGGGCUUGUGUUGCUAAUGUCAGUGUUUAUCUCGCAAUAGCAGCCAUCGAUAGCCAGCCUAUAAAUCCUAUUCCCACUCCUAAGCCACUUGAUGAUCAUGAUACGGCGUUUGAUACAUAUUCAUCGAUUUUCCACACUUUUCAUUAAUCAUGACAUCUACACGUAAGCUGAAUCUGAAUUGGUCAGCCGCCCUCAGGCGUAACACACGGCUUUGCAUGUGCGCGACGGCGGUUGGCUAUUAUAUAAAUCACUGGGAACAACUUGUCGCACUUUCACGGUGUUAAAAGUUAUGCAAUCAUAAAUCCUGUAGAUGCAUAGAUGAAAUAGUCAAUAGUCCUU